UACGAGGGGGGCUAGCGUUGUUCGGAAUUACUGGGCGUAAAGGGCGCGUAGGCGGUUUAACAAGUCAGGUGUGAAAGCCCUGGGCUCAACCCAGGAACUGCGCUUGAGACUGUUUUUCUUGAAUUCGGGAGAGGUGAGUGGAAUUCCCAGUGUAGAGGUGAAAUUCGUAGAUAUUGGGAGGAACACCGGUGGCGAAGGCGGCUCACUGGACCGACAUUGACGCUGAGGCGCGAAAGCGUGGGGAUCAAACAGG
This 253-nucleotide ribosomal RNA is filed under the name uncultured bacterium. RNAcentral describes it as "partial 16S ribosomal RNA". It matches the Rfam family "Bacterial small subunit ribosomal RNA", at positions 524 to 776 of the family's 1533-position model. The record is from RNAcentral.